This 253-nucleotide ribosomal RNA is filed under the name uncultured bacterium. RNAcentral describes it as "partial 16S ribosomal RNA". It matches the Rfam family "Bacterial small subunit ribosomal RNA", at positions 524 to 776 of the family's 1533-position model. The record is from RNAcentral.
UACGGAGGAUCCAAGCGUUGUCCGGAUUUAUUGGGUUUAAAGGGUGCGUAGGCGGAUAAUUAAGUCAGUGGUGAAAGCCUUCAGCUUAACUGAAGAAUUGCCAUUGAAACUGAUUAUCUUGAAUACGGUUGAGGUAGAUGGAAUGUAUCAUGUAGCGGUGAAAUGCUUAGAUAUGAUACAGAACACCGAUUGCGAAGGCAGUCUACUAAGCCGUGAUUGACGCUGAGGCACGAAAGCGUGGGUAGCAAACAGG